RNAcentral lists this ribosomal RNA (397 nucleotides) under uncultured bacterium. RNAcentral's name for it is "partial 16S ribosomal RNA". It matches the Rfam family "Bacterial small subunit ribosomal RNA", at positions 523 to 918 of the family's 1533-position model. The record is from RNAcentral.
AUACGAAGGGUGCAAGCGUUACUCGGAAUUACUGGGCGUAAAGCGUGCGUAGGUGGUGCGUUAAGUCUGUCGUGAAAUCCCCGGGCUCAACCUGGGAAUGGCGAUGGAUACUGGCGCGCUAGAGUGAGGUAGAGGAGAGUGGAAUUCCCGGUGUAGCAGUGAAAAGCGUAGAGAUCGGGAGGAACAUCAGUUGCGAAGGCGGCUCUCUGGACCAUCACUGACACUGAGGCACGAAAGCGUGGGGAGCAAACAGGAUUAGAUACCCUGGUAGUCCACGCCCUAAACGAUGCGAACUGGACGUUGGGCUCAAUUAGGAGCUCAGUGUCGAAGCUAACGCGUUAAGUUCGCCGCCUGGGGAGUACGGUCGCAAGACUGAAACUUAAAUGAAUUGACGGGG